This 253-nucleotide ribosomal RNA is filed under the name uncultured bacterium. RNAcentral's name for it is "partial 16S ribosomal RNA". It matches the Rfam family "Bacterial small subunit ribosomal RNA", at positions 524 to 776 of the family's 1533-position model. The record is from RNAcentral.
UACGAGGGGUGCAAGCGUUGCUCGGAAUUAUUGGGCGUAAAGGGUAGGUAGGUGGUCUCAUUUGUCUGGGGUGAAAGCCUUGAGCUUAACUCAAGAAGUGCCUCGGAAACGGUGAGACUAGAGUCCUGGAGAGGGUCGUGGAAUUCCCGGUGCAGCGGUGAAAUGCGUAGAUAUCUGGAGGAAUACCGGUGGCGAAGGCGGCAUCCUGGACCAUUACUGACGCUGAGGCGCGACAGCGUGGGGAUCAAACAGG